This is a long non-coding RNA of Onychomys torridus (southern grasshopper mouse), 2283 nucleotides long. RefSeq lists it as uncharacterized. NCBI's taxonomy places the organism in Eukaryota, Metazoa, Chordata, Mammalia, Rodentia, Cricetidae. The record is from RefSeq and is a predicted model, not a curated record. The transcript has 3 exons.
AUAGCAACUGCAACUGAGAGAUGAAGAAGCUACUGUCUGGAAUGCAGAGCCGAGGGCAGCUGUCAGGGGCAACCUGUACUGAUGAACCCCUUCACGCUUCCCUCCCUGCAGCCCCAUCUCUCCCCAGCCCUGGUGCUCGUGACUCCAGCUCUUUGCCCUCCUGACCAGAAACCCUGAGAUAAAGCAAAGGGGGAUGGAAGCUCCAUGCAUAGUGAAUACCUUGUCCAAGAACACCCAGGUAGCAAAGCCAGAGCUGGGCUCCAAACUACAGAGUCAACCACAAAGGUAUUCCACCGCAUGGCAUCACCGGAACCAGUUUCCAUUUCUGACUUAGACAGAUAAAGACCCCACUGCUACAACACCACAUGUGCUUGAGUGACUGCUGAUACCUUGCCCUCAUGGAGUUCCUAAUACAGCAGCUGACUCAUAGUCAAUGCCCAAGCAACAAACUUCAUGAAGGAGCCAGCCCUUCCAGAAGGAAGUUCUGAGCCCCGUGGAGCUUCAGCGCCUAUCAAGGAAACCCACACACUCUGAAGACCAUCCAAGUCUCAUGACUGUCUUCAUAUUGGUCACAACCAAGUAGCCAGAGAUAAGGCCAUGUCCUCCCUGGGACCCUCUUCUCUCUGUUCUCUUUAAAGAGUUAAGUCUCCCAGGCCUUGAUCUUCAGGUGGGAAGCGAAGAUGAAAUCUGUCUACAGUGGUCCCACCACGAGCAUCUGCAAACCCACACAGUUAUGACUGGGAUGUUGUAAUCUGAUGAGAAAUAUGGAUUGUGUCUUUGGCUCCUGAGACUGUUGUCAUUUCCUGUGCAACUUCAGUGCUGGGGGCAUCUUUUGUGCUGGUGAUAGGUUUCCACUUCCAGCUCUGGACAUGGGGUUCUGGUUCCCCCCCCCCCCACCCUGAGUUCCCUGGAUAACAGAAUGUCCCUUGCUCUAAGAAGUGACUUGUAGUGGGCUCCUGUAUAGCUUCAGUAGAAGCUGGUUACCAGUAGGACCAAGCCAUGUUUGGAAGCUUGGGACUCUUCCAGAAAAGGGAGUAGCUAGACAUGAAGUUAGUGGUCCCUUUUGCCAGGGCGGUGCAGCUUCUAUGCAGAUUCUUGGGCAGCAGGGUUUGAAAGCGUCUGGACUGAUGAAUACAUAGAGAGUUCUGGAAAGGAGGUGGAUGGGAGUUUCAUGCCCUUCUUCUUUGCCACGCCCUGUGUCUCCUUUCCAUCAACUUCUUCAUCUACAGCUUUUCAAACAUGUGUACUAUACCAGUGAGCACAGGGGCAAUGAUGCCCCUGGGAGCAAUCUAACAAAUUAAUUCAACUUGAGGGGAGUCAUUUGAUGAUCUCAGAUAAAGCCACUGGGCCAGAAGCACAGGGCAGGGCCAGGGGCUUGCUACAGGCACCUGAAUCUGGGGGAGGCAGCCUUGGGAGACUGAGCCCUUAACUUUCAAAAGCCAGCACUGUCUUUAGAGAGAUGUGUGAGAAAUGGGCUGGGUUAAAGACACACCCUCAGUGGUUGGAAUACAAUUGGCAGUUACCGACUUGAGUGCUGAAUGCUUGGUCCCGUCUGGUAGUGCUGUUUGGGGAAGUAGUGGAAACUUUAGGAGGUAAGACCUACCUGGAGGAAUGAGCUUUCCUCCCUCUCUUCUGUUUGUCCACUGUGAGGUGAGAACCCUCUCUUUCCAUGCUCCUACUGCCACGACGACCUGGCCAAGUGCACAGAGCCAAGCAACCACCACGGACUGUGAGCCUGGAACUUUGAGCCAAGAUGAAUCUCUUCCUAUGUUGUUUCUGUCCAGAAUUUGCUCACAAAGAUGCAAAAGUGAUAACAUUGGCAUCCCCUGGAGUCCUGGCUGUUACUGUGAAGAAUGAUCUGCAGUUAGCUCUGCCAGUGAACAACAAAAGCUAUUGGUCUCUCUGUCUCUUACAACAGUCAUUGCAGAGAUGAAGACAGGCCGGGAGUACGAGUGGCUGGGUACUUGAGGGUACUUUGUACAACCAAACCAGGGUGUGAAAGCAAAUCCAAGGUGGCAUUGGACCCUCAGUGUGAUGUUUAUUGUUUAUUGGCAAUGUGACAGGACCUAAAAUCACCUGGGACGUGGGCCUCUGGGCACACCUGUGGCAGAUUAUCUUGACUAUGUCCCAUCUUAACCAUGGGCAGGUCCUGGCUGGGGACCUGGACUGUAAGAUGGAGAAAGGCAGCUGAACAGUGUUUCUCUCUCAUCUCCCUGGUUGCAGAUGGGAUGUGACCAGCUUUCAAGUUCCUGCUGCCUUAGUCCCCCUGUCUUGAUGGACUGU